RNAcentral lists this long non-coding RNA (375 nucleotides) under Heterocephalus glaber (naked mole-rat). Its description in RNAcentral is "lncRNA (ENSHGLG00100052486.1)". The record is from RNAcentral. Lineage: Eukaryota; Metazoa; Chordata; Mammalia; Rodentia; Bathyergidae.
CAACUGGCCCUUCCGCAGACGCGGGCUAGCGGGCUGGAGAGAAGGUCCACCCAGGGCAUGGAGUAGGUGGCCACUCGCUGUUGGCGUCCAGCUCAUGCCGAAUUUUGAAAAUCCAGGGUACAGAAGGACUGAUGGUAAAAAAACAGAGAGUAGGGACUGUUAUGUCAGCGCUUGUCACCAUUUAAAACGUCAGCAGUGUUACACAAAGACAGUGGAGGUGUGUCUGCAAGAGCCGCAGCUCAGGUCCAGAGGAAUCCUUAUGGCUCAAGGGGCAAUCAGUCCCCAUGAGAUGACGUUCCUUACUCGGCAGGGACACUGCCUUUAUUUUCAUCAUGGGAAGAUCACAAGAAGGCGAGUAUAUGCCAACCAAGAUGC